RNAcentral lists this ribosomal RNA (917 nucleotides) under Colletotrichum paxtonii. RNAcentral's name for it is "LSU rRNA". It matches the Rfam family "Eukaryotic large subunit ribosomal RNA", at positions 33 to 977 of the family's 3401-position model. Lineage: Eukaryota; Fungi; Ascomycota; Sordariomycetes; Glomerellales; Glomerellaceae. The record is from RNAcentral.
CUUAAGCAUAUCAAUAAGCGGAGGAAAAGAAACCAACAGGGAUUGCCCCAGUAACGGCGAGUGAAGCGGCAACAGCUCAAAUUUGAAAUCUGGCCCCAGGCCCGAGUUGUAAUUUGCAGAGGAUGCUUUUGGCGCGGUGCCUUCCGAGUUCCCUGGAACGGGACGCCAUAGAGGGUGAGAGCCCCGUACGGUUGGACACCAAGCCUUUGUAAAGCUCCUUCGACGAGUCGAGUAGUUUGGGAAUGCUGCUCUAAAUGGGAGGUACAUUUCUUCUAAAGCUAAAUAUUGGCCAGAGACCGAUAGCGCACAAGUAGAGUGAUCGAAAGAUGAAAAGCACUUUGAAAAGAGGGUUAAACAGCACGUGAAAUUGUUAAAAGGGAAGCGCUUGUGACCAGACUUGCGUCCGGUGAAUCACCCAGCUCUCGCGGCUGGGGCACUUCGCCGGCACAGGCCAGCAUCAGCUUGCCGUCGGGGACAAAAGCUUCAGGAACGUGGCUCCUCUCGGGGAGUGUUAUAGCCUGUUGCAUAAUACCCUUCGGCGGGCUGAGGUACGCGCUCCGCAAGGAUGCUGGCGUAAUGGUCAUCAGCGACCCGUCUUGAAACACGGACCAAGGAGUCAACCUUAUGUGCGAGUGUUUGGGUGUCAAACCCCUACGCGUAAUGAAAGUGAACGCAGGUGAGAGCUUCGGCGCAUCAUCGACCGAUCCUGAUGUUCUCGGAUGGAUUUGAGUAAGAGCAUAUAGGGUUGGACCCGAAAGAAGGUGAACUAUGCGUGUGUAGGGUGAAGCCAGAGGAAACUCUGGUGGAGGCUCGCAGCGGUUCUGACGUGCAAAUCCGAUCGUCAAACAUGCGCAUGGGGGCGAAAGACUAAUCGAAUCCUUCUAGUAGCUGGUUUUCUGCCGAAGUUCCCCCUCAGG